Molecule: ribosomal RNA, 594 nt
Filed under: Diptychus maculatus (scaly osman)
Lineage: Eukaryota; Metazoa; Chordata; Actinopteri; Cypriniformes; Cyprinidae
Description: partial 16S ribosomal RNA
Rfam family: Bacterial large subunit ribosomal RNA
Source: RNAcentral
AAAACAUCGCCUCCUGCAACAAAACCUAGUAUAGGAGGUCCAGCCUGCCCAGUGACUAUAAGUUCAACGGCCGCGGUAUUUUGACCGUGCAAAGGUAGCGUAAUCACUUGUCUCUUAAAUGGAGACCUGUAUGAAUGGCUAAACGAGGGCUUAACUGUCUCCCCCCUCCAGUCAGUGAAAUUGAUCUAUCCGUGCAGAAGCGGGUAUAAAUAUACAAGACGAGAAGACCCUUUGGAGCUUAAGGUACAAAGCUCAACCACGUCAAGCAACUUGAUAAAGAGCAAAAACUUUGUGGAUUAUGACAUUUUACCUUCGGUUGGGGCGACCACGGAGGAAAGAAAAGCCUCCAGGUGGACUGGGAUAGUAUCCUAAAGCCAAGAGGGACAUCUCUAGGCCGCAGAACAUCUGACCAAGCAUGAUCCGGCUAAUAAAGCCGAUCAACGAACCAAGUUACCCUAGGGAUAACAGCGCAAUCCUCUCCCAGAGUCCAUAUCGACGAGGGGGUUUACGACCUCGAUGUUGGAUCAGGACAUCCUAAUGGUGCAGCCGCUAUUAAGGGUUCGUUUGUUCAACGAUUAAAGUCCUACGUGAUCU